AAGGAAGGACUGAAGACAAAAGAAACUAUGGGCUGCUCUCUCUUUCCCUUUCUUUCUAUGUCACCAUUUUCACUUAAGUGGUUGGUCGAUACAAGGAAUUAACACUAAUGCUAUGUGCAAAUGGGAUAGGAAGAAAUGGCAGCAUGCAUUAUGCACACCUCUCCUCUGCUCAGACUCAAAUUAUCGAAACUUCAGAGGAAAAAUUUAAACUUUCCUACACCAGAAUCAGCUUGAGAGAAGAACCUAGUUGCCACCCCAGCCAGAGGGUUCCUGUGGAAGCCACCAGCACAUUGAGAGAAGGGAAAAUGUGGUUAUUCUGCAUCCAUUUUACUGCAAGGAGAUCGGGGCUGACGUGGCUGGCCAAUUCACAACCUGUCUCUAAUGUAUUCCCAUUUGAGAAACUGAUCAUGGACAGCUAAGUGAAAUGUCUGACUUCUCUCCUGGAGGCUCCCUCACUCUCUUCUGCCAGAAAUGAGACCCGGGGAAAAACAGCGGUAUCAUCUAUA
RNAcentral lists this long non-coding RNA (506 nucleotides) under Homo sapiens (human). Its description in RNAcentral is "HSALNT0322928". Lineage: Eukaryota; Metazoa; Chordata; Mammalia; Primates; Hominidae. The record is from RNAcentral.